Molecule: ribosomal RNA, 171 nt
Filed under: uncultured bacterium
Lineage: Bacteria
Description: partial 16S rRNA
Rfam family: Bacterial small subunit ribosomal RNA
Source: RNAcentral
CCUACGGGAGGCAGCAGUGGGGAAUAUUGCACAAUGGAGGGAACUCUGAUGCAGCAACGCCGCGUGAGUGAAGAAGGUUUUCGGAUCGUAAAACUCUGUCAUUGGGGAAGAAUAAAUGACGGUACCCACUGAGGAAGCCCCGGCUAACUACSUGCCAGCAGCCGCGGUAAU